Molecule: ribosomal RNA, 484 nt
Filed under: uncultured bacterium
Lineage: Bacteria
Description: partial 16S ribosomal RNA
Rfam family: Bacterial small subunit ribosomal RNA
Source: RNAcentral
AUUGAACGCUGGCGGCAGGCCUAACACAUGCAAGUCGAGCGGAUGAAGGGAGCUUGCUCCUGGAUUCAGCGGCGGACGGGUGAGUAAUGCCUAGGAAUCUGCCUGGCAGUGGGGGAUAACGUCCGGAAACGGGCGCUAAUACCGCAUACGUCCUGAGGGAGAAAGUGGGGGAUCUUCGGACCUCACGCUAUCAGAUGAGCCUAGGUCGGAUUAGCUAGUUGGUGGGGUAAAGGCCUACCAAGGCGACGAUCCGUAACUGCUCUGAGAGGAUGAUCAGUCACACUGGAACUGAGACACGGUCCAGACUCCUACGGGAGGCAGCAGUGGGGAAUAUUGGACAAAGGGCGAAAGCCUGAUCCAGCCAUGCCGCGUGUGUGAAGAAGGUCUUCGGAUUGUAAAGCACUUUAAGUUGGGAGGAAGGGCAGUGAGUUAAUACCUUGCUGUUUUGACGUUACCAACAGAAUAAGCACCGGCUAACUUCGUG